This is a long non-coding RNA of Erpetoichthys calabaricus (reedfish), 471 nucleotides long. RefSeq lists it as uncharacterized. The record is from RefSeq and is a predicted model, not a curated record. Lineage: Eukaryota; Metazoa; Chordata; Cladistia; Polypteriformes; Polypteridae. The transcript has 3 exons.
GUUACCAGACAGCUGGGCAACUGCAGCAGAUGUAGUAAGGGUGACAGCAAGAAGGGAGCUUGGCGUGACAUCUGGACAGAGGAAGGAGGAAAAGGAAACCUGGUGAAAAGUAGUGGGACAGUCAGAGAGAUGCAGAAAGUAGACAAGAGUACAAGGAGAUAAGGCGCAAGGUGAAUAGAGAGGUGGCGAAGACUAAAGAAAAAGCGUAUGAUGAGUUGUAUGAGAGGUUGGACACUAAGGUGGGAGAAAAGGACCUGUACCGAUUGGCUAGACAGAGGGACCGACCUGGGAAAGAUGUGCAGCAGGUUAGGGUAAUAAAGGAUAAACAUGGAAACGUACUCACAAUCGAGGAGAGAGUGUUGAGCAGAUGGAAAGAGUACUUUGAGAGGCUUAUGAAUGAAGAGAACGAGAGAGAGAAGAGUAAGGACAGCUAUGAAGAGGAUGAAGAAUAGAAAAGCCGUUGGUCCAGAU